CCUACGGGUGGCAGCAGUAGGGAAUCUUUCACAAUGGGCGAAAGCCUGAUGGAGCAACGCCGCGUGCAGGAUGAAGGCCUUCGGGUUGUAAACUGCUUUUAUAAGCGAGAAAUAUGAUGGUAACUUAUGAAUAAGGAUCGGCUAACUACGUGCCAGCAGCCGCGGUCAUACGUAGGAUCCGAGCAUUAUCCGGAGUGACUGGGUGUAAAGGGAGCGUAGACGGCAGUGCAAGUCUGGAGUGAAAGGCGGGGGCUCAACCCCCGGACUGCUCUGGAAACUGUACGGCUGGAGUGCAGGAGAGGUAAGUGGAAUUCCUAGUGUAGCGGUGAAAUGCGUAGAUAUUAGGAGGAACACCAGUGGCGAAGGCGGCUUACUGGACUGUAACUGACGUUGAGGCUCGAAAGCGUGGGGAGCAAACAGGAUUAGAUACCCUAGUAGUC
This 440-nucleotide ribosomal RNA is filed under the name uncultured bacterium. Its description in RNAcentral is "partial 16S ribosomal RNA". It matches the Rfam family "Bacterial small subunit ribosomal RNA", at positions 338 to 795 of the family's 1533-position model. The record is from RNAcentral.